Molecule: transfer RNA, 72 nt
Filed under: Camelus bactrianus (Bactrian camel)
Lineage: Eukaryota; Metazoa; Chordata; Mammalia; Artiodactyla; Camelidae
Also listed under: 2 other names
Rfam family: tRNA
About the family: Transfer RNA (tRNA) molecules are approximately 80 nucleotides in length.
Source: Rfam by way of RNAcentral
GAGGGUGUAGCUCAAGUGGUAGAGCUGUGCUUAGCAUGCACAAGGUCCUGGGUUCAAUCCCCAGUACCGCCU